Seriola aureovittata is the source of this 568-nucleotide long non-coding RNA. RefSeq lists it as uncharacterized. The transcript is spliced from 3 exons. The record is from RefSeq and is a predicted model, not a curated record. NCBI's taxonomy places the organism in Eukaryota, Metazoa, Chordata, Actinopteri, Carangiformes, Carangidae.
UGAUGGCAAGCCAGUUGUCAUUUUGCAUUUGGUCUGCUAGUAAAACCUGCUGCUAACUUGAGCAUGCUGCUGCCGUGGUCUUCACUGGGUCAUCUUUUGUAAGUCCUCAGAGUUGCAGGGACAUGGUGGGAUUGUGCUACGGUGCAGGUAACACGAGAGAUGCAACGCAGUAUUGGCCCAUAUAGAACCAGAGGAGCUGAGGACUUGAGCAUAACAAGAAACCAAAAGCUCCUGUUGAAAUCCCGUGCUAUGAUUUGAUCCCUUAGAUGUGGCAGUGGAAGAGACCACUUCAGAAGAGACCGGCAGACCAUGGCGUCACUACAGAGGAAAGCACACAGUGGGUGUCUAGACUAACAGUAACAACCUCAUGUGCUGAUGGCACCACAUCCACAGACCACAUGUGUUCUGUCCAACUGAUGUCAACAGAGUUAAAGGCAUCCGUUUUUUAGCACAAGACAUGAAUCCUUAAACUUCAUGCCGUCCAGAUGUGAAUAAGUAACUUUAGACUGCUACUUUUUGUUUUCCUGCCCACACUCUAUUAUUUGCUUUGUACAUACUUUUAUUAAUA